RNAcentral lists this ribosomal RNA (96 nucleotides) under uncultured ectomycorrhiza (Lactarius pseudomucidus). RNAcentral describes it as "partial 28S ribosomal RNA". It matches the Rfam family "Eukaryotic large subunit ribosomal RNA", at positions 1 to 94 of the family's 3401-position model. Lineage: Eukaryota; Fungi; Basidiomycota; Agaricomycetes; Russulales; Russulaceae. The record is from RNAcentral.
UUGACCUCAAAUCGGGUGAGACUACCCGCUGAACUUAAGCAUAUCAAUAAGCGGAGGAAAAGAAACUAACAAGGGAUUCCCCUAGUAACUGCGAGU